GGCGUUGUGCGAUAGUGGUUAUUCGGCGGGUCUAGAAUCGUUUUGAGAUUAAAUUCUUCUUUUCUCGACGUUCGCAAGAUAACCCGUGCCUUCAGGCUCGCAUGUUCGAAUCAUGCCAACGUCG
Molecule: transfer RNA, 124 nt
Filed under: Kwoniella mangroviensis CBS 8507
Lineage: Eukaryota; Fungi; Basidiomycota; Tremellomycetes; Tremellales; Cryptococcaceae
Also listed under: 2 other names
Description: tRNA-Ser
Source: RNAcentral